CAGAGAGUGUGUGCCAGCAGCCGCGGUAAUACGUAUGGUGCAAGCGUUAUCCGGCUUUACUGGGUGUAAAGGGAGCGCAGGCGGUGCGGCAAGUCUGAUGUGAAAGCCCGGGGCUCAACCCCGGUACUGCAUUGGAAACUGUCGUACUAGAGUGUCGGAGGGGUAAGCGGAAUUCCUAGUGUAGCGGUGAAAUGCGUAGAUAUUAGGAGGAACACCAGUGGCGAAGGCGGCUUACUGGACGAUAACUGACGCUGAGGCUCGAAAGCGUGGGGAGCAAACAGG
Molecule: ribosomal RNA, 282 nt
Filed under: Roseburia faecis M72/1
Lineage: Bacteria; Bacillati; Bacillota; Clostridia; Lachnospirales; Lachnospiraceae
Description: partial 16S ribosomal RNA
Rfam family: Bacterial small subunit ribosomal RNA
Source: RNAcentral